Molecule: long non-coding RNA, 793 nt
Organism: Stegodyphus dumicola
Lineage: Eukaryota; Metazoa; Arthropoda; Arachnida; Araneae; Eresidae
Gene: CycY
Source: RefSeq, a predicted model, not a curated record
AACAGCACUAGGGCAUCACGGAAAGUUUUCGUUACUUCUCGGCUCUGCUAGUGGAAUGAAGAAGGUUAUGAGAACACGUCUGAUAUUUUCUAUUAUUGUGUUUUUAUUUACUACCGGACAUAUCCUGCCAGUUAUUCAUUCCUAGACGAUACUCCAAAGCAGUUUUAUUUAUUUCGAAUGUAUAAAAUUCUGCAUAUAAUUGUUGUUAAAAAGUUGUGUAUAUAGCAUGGAGUUAUCUGAUACAAGGAUAGUAUUGUCAAGGAGUAUUUGAAUUUAUUUCAUCCCAUCUGCAUCAUGGGCAAUAAAUUUUCAUGUUGUGCAUGUCAUAGCCCCAUUUUUGACAGGAAAGCAAACCCAGAAGGAGGCCAAAGAAUUUAUUUCCAGGAUGAGAGCAUAUCCAAUCUGCAACACAUUAGUGAAAGGGAGCCAGAAGAAGCUGAAAAUAUUGGAUCAUCCAAAGUUGGGGAGACUAGCAAGAUGUGGUUUUCACAGAAAUCCACAGGACAUGAGAUUUUUUAAUGAUGAGAUAUUUUGCAGCCAGAAUAGUUCUUCCCCCCAAUGACAGGUGGCUCUGUUGUAUCAGAAUUUCAUAAAAUGGUUCGACUCAGCUACAAAAACCUCAACUUCUAAAAUCCAACUCAACAAGGAUUACAGUUGUUUAGUACAACAGCCUUCAUUCAUGAGUGUGGUUGUCAGAUGCAGCUUGAUGCUGUGUAAAGUGUUGCGAAAGUUGCGCUGCGCUAUUGCACAAGUUUCUGUCAAUCGAAACACCACCUGUCUGUAAAAAGUUUAA